GUGCCAGCAGCCGCGGUAAUACGUAGGUGGCAAGCGUUGUCCGGAUUUAUUGGGCGUAAAGCGAGCGCAGGCGGUUUCUUAAGUCUGAUGUGAAAGCCCCCGGCUCAACCGGGGAGGGUCAUUGGAAACUGGGAGACUUGAGUGCAGAAGAGGAGAGUGGAAUUCCAUGUGUAGCGGUGAAAUGCGUAGAUAUAUGGAGGAACACCAGUGGCGAAGGCGGCUCUCUGGUCUGUAACUGACGCUGAGGCUCGAAAGCGUGGGGAGCGAACAGGAUUAGAUACCCUGGUAGUCCACGCCGUAAACGAUGAGUGCUAAGUGUUGGAGGGUUUCCGCCCUUCAGUGCUGCAGCAAACGCAUUAAGCACUCCGCCUGGGGGGUACGACCGCAAGGUUGAAACUCAAAGGAAUUGACGGGGGCCCGCACAAGCGGUGGAGCAUGUGGUUUAAUUCGAAGCAACGCGAAGAACCUUACCAGGUCUUGACAUCCUUUGACCACUCUAGAGAUAGAGCUUCCCCUUCGGGGGCAAAGUGACAGGUGGUGCAUGGUUGUCGUCAGCUCGUGUCGUGAGAUGUUGGGUUAAGUCCCGCAACGAGCGCAACCCUUAUUGUUAGUUGCCAUCAUUUAGUUGGGCACUCU
Molecule: ribosomal RNA, 636 nt
Filed under: uncultured bacterium
Lineage: Bacteria
Description: bacterial SSU rRNA
Rfam family: Bacterial small subunit ribosomal RNA
Source: RNAcentral